AUUGAACGCUAGCGGCAUGCCUUACACAUGCAAGUCGAACGGCAGCACGGGGCCACCUGGUGGCGAGUGGCGAACGGGUGCGUAAUGUAUCGGAACGUGCCCAGUAGCGGGGGAUAACUACGCGAAAGCGUAGCUAAUACCUCAUACGCCCUACGGGGGAAAGGGGGGGAUCGCAAGACCUCUCACUAUUUGAGCGGCCGAUAUCGGAUUAGCUAGUUGGUGAGGUAAAGGCUCACCAAGGCUUCGAUCCGUAGCUGGUUUGAGAGGACGACCAGCCACACUGGGACUGAGACACGGCCCAGACUCCUACGGGAGGCAGCAGUGGGGAAUUUUGGACAAUGGGGGCAACCCUGAUCCAGCAAUGCCGCGUGUGCGAAGAAGGCCUUCGGGUUGUAAAGCACUUUUGGCGGGAACGAAACGGUGCCGGAUAAUACCUGGCGCCACUGACGGUACCCGCAGAAUAAGCACCGGCUAACUACGUG
This 482-nucleotide ribosomal RNA is filed under the name uncultured bacterium. RNAcentral describes it as "partial 16S ribosomal RNA". It matches the Rfam family "Bacterial small subunit ribosomal RNA", at positions 30 to 507 of the family's 1533-position model. The record is from RNAcentral.